GCGAUUUCCUGCAGGGAGAGAACUAACUUCUCAGAGCUCUUUCUUCUUUCGUGUGACUCCAAAAGCCUGUGUGCCUGAACACUCACAGAAACAGACACGGAAACCCGGCACACAGCCUUGGAAAACCCCUGGAGGUUUUCCACGCUACCAAGGGUUGAAGACCUCUGCUCAAUCUGGGAAAAUCCAAUGUUCAUUACACACGCCAAUCAGACUUCACCUCUCAGCUAGCGGGCCCAUGGUUUUCUGAUUGGUCGAUCAGAGCAAACCUGUUCAACAAGCAAGUUCCACCCACGAUGGCUGACUAAGGAGGAAUUGACAUCUAUGAUCACCGCUGCGAAAGAACACACAGGGGAGCCCAAGAAAGUUGCAAUUGCCAGCAUUUUGAUAAGGAAGGUGAGAAACACUACUGAAUUCAGGGAGUAACUCAUCGCAAAACACGAAGAUGGUGUUGAUCCGUAUUCAUCCCUCGCUGCUGCCUCAUAGCCGUCUUUGUCAACAAUCAAGUCAAAUUAUUUUCUGCACGAAAAACUAUAAUUGUAAAACCAUUUCAGAAUGUGUUUUGUGUGAACAUUUUUGGGUGUCCGGAACGCAUACAUUUGAUUUACAUUAUUUUUUAUGGCAAAGAUUGAUUCAGUUAGCGUACGUUCCGGUUUCAGUCAGACCUUCUGGGACAGAUUAAUGAUGCUAACCAAGGUCCCACAAAAAAAUCUACCAUAAACGUGUAAUGGGUAAUCUUCCAAAAUCAGCAGGGGAUCAAAUAUUUAUUUCCCCCUCUGUAUAUUAAAUGUGUUUGGGGAGCAUGGGCAUUU
Long non-coding RNA from Dunckerocampus dactyliophorus (ringed pipefish), 809 nucleotides. RefSeq lists it as uncharacterized. The transcript is spliced from 4 exons. The record is from RefSeq and is a predicted model, not a curated record. NCBI's taxonomy places the organism in Eukaryota, Metazoa, Chordata, Actinopteri, Syngnathiformes, Syngnathidae.